GCCGAGGUGGUGAAAUUGGUAGACACGCAUGCUUCAGGUGCAUGUGGGGGUAACCCCGUGGAGGUUCAAGUCCUCUCCUCGGCACCA
Molecule: transfer RNA, 87 nt
Filed under: Pseudomonadota bacterium
Lineage: Bacteria; Pseudomonadati; Pseudomonadota
Also listed under: 1 other name
Description: tRNA-Leu
Rfam family: tRNA
About the family: Transfer RNA (tRNA) molecules are approximately 80 nucleotides in length.
Source: RNAcentral